GGAGAUGUAUCGAAGUGGUCAUAACGGGGCGCACUCGAAAUGCGUUAGCCCUCCGGGGCUCGAGAGUUCGAAUCUCUCCAUCUCCGCCA
RNAcentral lists this transfer RNA (89 nucleotides) under Clostridiales bacterium. RNAcentral describes it as "tRNA-Ser". It matches the Rfam family "tRNA". Rfam says of the family: Transfer RNA (tRNA) molecules are approximately 80 nucleotides in length. Their secondary structure includes four short double-helical elements and three loops (D, anti-codon, and T loops). The record is from RNAcentral. Lineage: Bacteria; Bacillati; Bacillota; Clostridia; Eubacteriales. RNAcentral also lists the same sequence under 1 other name.